AACGAACGCUGGCGGCAUGCCUAACACAUGCAAGUCGAACGAUGCCUUCGGGCAUAGUGGCGCACGGGUGCGUAACGCGUGGGAAUCUGCCUUUCGGUUCGGAAUAACUCAGGGAAACUUGAGCUAAUACCGGAUAACGUCGCAAGACCAAAGAUUUAUCACCGAAAGAUGAGCCCGCGUAGGAUUAGCUAGUUGGUGAGGUAAAGGCUCACCAAGGCGACGAUCCUUAGCUGGUCUGAGAGGAUGAUCAGCCACACUGGGACUGAGACACGGCCCAGGCUCCUACGGGAGGCAGCAGUGGGGAAUAUUGGACAAUGGGCGAAAGCCUGAUCCAGCAAUGCCGCGUGAGUGAUGAAGGCCUUAGGGUUGUAAAGCUCUUUUACCCGGGAAGAUAAUGACGGUACCGGGAGAAUAAGCCCCGGCUAACUCCGUG
RNAcentral lists this ribosomal RNA (433 nucleotides) under uncultured bacterium. RNAcentral's name for it is "partial 16S ribosomal RNA". It matches the Rfam family "Bacterial small subunit ribosomal RNA", at positions 29 to 507 of the family's 1533-position model. The record is from RNAcentral.